UUCGCAAUGCCCGAAAGGGUGACGAAGCGACGCCGCGUGUGGGAAGAAGGCCUUCGGGUUGUAAACCACUGUCGGGAGUUAAGAAAUGCAAGAAUGUUAAUAGCGCUUUUGCUUGACUAAGGCUCCGGAGGAAGCCACGGCUAACUCUGUGCCAGCAGCCGCGGUAAUACAGAGGCGGCAAGCGUUGUUCGGAAUUAUUGGGCGUAAAGAGCACGUGGGCGGCCAUAUAAGUCGGUUGUGAAAGCCUUCCGCUCAACGGGAGAACAGCAUCCGAUACUGUAUGGCUUGAGUGUGGGAGGGGAGAGCGGAACUUCUGGUGGAGCGGUGAAAUGCGUAGAUAUCAGAAGGAACGCCGGCGGCGAAAGCGGCUCUCUGGCCCAUAACUGACGCUGAGUGUGCGAAAGCUAGGGGAGCAAACGGGAUUAGAUACCCCGGUAGUCCUAGCCGUAAACGAUGGGCACUAAGUAGAGGGGUUUU
Molecule: ribosomal RNA, 477 nt
Filed under: uncultured Candidatus Brocadia sp.
Lineage: Bacteria; Pseudomonadati; Planctomycetota; Candidatus Brocadiia; Candidatus Brocadiales; Candidatus Brocadiaceae
Description: bacterial SSU rRNA
Rfam family: Bacterial small subunit ribosomal RNA
Source: RNAcentral